AGCAGAAGGGUCCUUGAGUUCCAGUUAAUAGAAAAGAAUAUGGAUGUUCGAUCUAGAAGAGCCAGAGAAAGAGAAACCAGUCCCGACAGGGCCAAAGUGUGCACGCAGGCGCAGGUGCAGCCAAGGGUCAAACCUAUCAAAAAGGUUCAAGUUGUUUACUAUCUCUCUAGAAAUGGGCAGCUUGAACAUCCUCAUUACAUGGAAGUUACCCAUUUGGCCAAUCAACAUCUUCGUUUGAGAGAUGUUAUGGAUCGGCUCACGGCCCUUAGAGGCAAAGGCAUGCCUUCUCUAUACUCAUGGUCUUGCAAAAGGAGCUACAAGAAUGGCUAUGUGUGGAAUGACUUAGCAGAGAAUGAUAUCAUCCAUCCAUCAGAUGGAGCUGAGUAUGUACUCAAAGGGUCUGAGCUGGUUGAAG
Molecule: unclassified non-coding RNA, 415 nt
Filed under: Hevea brasiliensis (rubber tree)
Lineage: Eukaryota; Viridiplantae; Streptophyta; Magnoliopsida; Malpighiales; Euphorbiaceae
Source: RNAcentral